This 228-nucleotide long non-coding RNA is filed under the name Sinocyclocheilus grahami. Its description in RNAcentral is "lncRNA (ENSSGRG00000006739.1)". Lineage: Eukaryota; Metazoa; Chordata; Actinopteri; Cypriniformes; Cyprinidae. The record is from RNAcentral.
AUUGUGGCAUUUAUUUUCAACAUCACAAAAUAUAAUAUGUUUUUGCAGGUGAGCCAGGUCAGGUCGGAUCAUCAGGGCCUCCUGGUGAGAAAGGUCUUAAAGGAUCAGCAGGUGCUCCUGGGCCAGAUGGUGUUAAAGGAAUUCGAGGGGAUCAAGGUCCGAUUGGGUUGCCUGGAGCUCGGGGACCCUCAGGGUCUCCUGGAGAUGCAGGAAUACCAGGUAUAAAUG